This is a long non-coding RNA of Corvus hawaiiensis (hawaiian crow), 7049 nucleotides long. RefSeq lists it as uncharacterized. Lineage: Eukaryota; Metazoa; Chordata; Aves; Passeriformes; Corvidae. The record is from RefSeq and is a predicted model, not a curated record. The transcript is spliced from 4 exons.
UGUAGUGACAGUACAAGGAGUAACGGCUUUAAACUUAAAGAGAGUCAACUUAGAACAGAUUUAGGAAGAAAUUCUUUACUGCAAUACGGCUGAGACACUGAACAGGUUGCCCAGAAAAGCUGUGGCCACCACAUUCCUGGAAGUGUCCAAGGCAAGGUUGGAUGGGCCUUGGAACAACCUGGAAGUUGUGGAAGGUGUCCCUGCCCAUGGCAGGGGGGUGGAAGGAGGUGAUCUUUAAGGUCCCUUUUGACCCAAAGCAUUCUGUGAUUCUGUGCUGUUCACAGCGUAGCCUGGUAGGCUCCUGUAGUUAGACUUGAUUUUGUCAGUGACUGCUAAGUCUAGGAAGCCGCAGUUUCCAAAAUUAACAGUAAAAUAAGAUGAAAAAUCAUAAUGAGAGGAAAACAGAUCAUGAGAACUCAGUUUAUUAUCUGUCUCCUGUGUCUGAAAGAUGCUAUCUUUACCUCUCAACUUCUCCUACCAUCAGUUGGGGUGAUGACUGGGAGCAGCACCAGCUCAGAUGGAGAGUGUGCCACCCACUGAGGCACUGGUACUGCUUCCUGUUGGCACAGCCCCUCCUGGUAGGAGCUGCUCUUCUGCUGAACCUCCCUCACUUCUUCUUAUGAGCAGAAAGCAGAAGUGAUAUGAGUCACCUCACAAGACCACCUGCUAAAUUCUUCUCCUAUGGUCUUGAGCCAGAUGCCACCUGCUAAUAAUGAAUGUGAAGAUAGAGCUCUUCAGGAUAUUGCUCAGAAUCAGAGACUCUUUCUUCAGGAUUAAUUUCCUAAGGAAAAGUAAUAAAUAUCAAAAAUAUGAGUGCCCACUUCUCAGGAGCUCCAAAAUUCUGAAAUUUAUUGUCUUCACAGAAACCUAACCACUGCUGUUACUCAGCUCUAAUGAAAUAAAAUCCAUUCUAAGGAAAUAAACCACAUAUUAAAUAUUUUUUUGUUCGAACAUGAGUAAAAUAACUUUCAAAUUUAUCUUUAACAAUGUGUAUUCAGGCACAUUUUCUGUCUUGUAUAAGACCCUCCCAAACUUAGAAGACUAAGUAUAUGAGAGUCUUCCAGUAAAAGACUAGCUUCCAUCUCCAAUGUCACUGUAAUUCCUUUUUUCAUAUCCAGAAUUAUUUGCUGAAGCAAUGACUGAAACCAUGAAAUCGUGACAGCCUGCACACUGGGAAAAGACAGCUAACAUAGCAUCAGAAGUUGGUAGUUUGCAUUUGUCCACUAUUCUCAUAGUUGUAACUUCUAACCAAAGAUUCACAGAGAAGAUACCCACCUCUUCCCCACUGCCACAGCCCAUGCAACGUGGGUCUUUUGAGAUGAAGUGCCCCCACAUCUCUGGGACAUAUGAGUGAAUCUGGAAUUUUUGUAGAAAUAGUAAUCUGAGAGAAAGCAAGAAGAAAAGUGGCUUUCAUCUUUUAUACUCAUCAAGUCUGGGACAGCUUCCAAAUCAAUGAGUAUAUGCACUCAGUUUUGUCUUGGUUUUUGAGUUACAACCAUGAAAUAACCAACUGAGACCCAUAGAUUUUAACAAACCAAUGUGAAAGACAAUGUGGUCUUUGAAAUUGGUUUCGAAUCUGUCUAUGGGUUAAACACAGAGUUUUUUGCCUUUGAAAAUCCUUAAGCAAAGACGCCUUCGCCUCUGAGGAACGACAUUUUAUUAAUGUGCAUGCUUGUGUAUGUUAGCAUGUGCAUGAAUAUAUGAAUAAAAGUAUAGACAACUAUUAUACAAAUACUUCUUAUAAAGACAUAAGUUUAUGGAAUUAAAAACAGUAGCCUCAGUGUUGUAUCUCUGAACAUGUAGUAUAUGUCAGAAUUUAGUUGAUAUGUACCAUUCAAGAACAUAUUUAUCACCCAAAAGCAUUCCUUAUUUUACACUCUUACUUCCUGUACCUUAUUUCAGGCAGUCAUAAUUUCAUAGGCAUUUAUUUUGACUUGUUUUUUAAGUGGUAGAAGAAAGAACAGAAUCAGGAUAUAAUGGCUGGCCAAACCCUGAUGUCUUUACUUAGAUCUUACUCAGAUAAAACUGCUCAGGACUUCUACCUGCAGAAAGACCACAGGAAUUAGCCCUACAAAUGGUUUCCUCCCUUCCAAGAGGUAAAUAUAUGUCUUUGUUCUUUUAUCUGUUUGUUGCCAGGGUGACAGGCUUAUGCAGUUUGAGAGUACAACAGUAAGGCCUUAGGGUGUCACUUUAAGAUAACCACACACUCAGUUUUCUGUUUAGCUUCAUUAUUUUAUUUUUAGUUUUAUUCAUAACUAUUUGCUACUGAAAAAUGCCUAUUGUCAGCUCCAGGUGUGUUUGCCAACAUUAAAAAGUAUAAUCACAAUAAAAGAAAAGCCAGGAGCUAUUCCACCUCCCACAUGCCAAAAUUAACAAACCAUAGCAAAAAUUAAAAUCAACAAUAUUUUACUGUCCUCCUUCCCUUCCUUCUUCUCUCUAUCCUCUACAUCCUCCUUCCUACGAGCUAUCCGGAUUUCUUUCCAAAUGCCUGAAUAAAUGAAUAACAUGCAGCAUGGAUGUUCAGUUGAUGUUGCAAAAACAUAAUUUUGGCCCUGUUUUCAUACCACUGACAGUGUGCAUAAGGAAGAAACCCAUUUUCAUACUAAGAAUUCUCUUUUUCAUAGUAGUGCAUAACUUCUGUAUGGUCGUCUGACAGAAGGAAACCCAAGCCUUCCCUUUUCCAUGGACUUUGGAGGCAUGGAAAUCUGCAAUUAUCUCUACAGCUUAGAGUGCCCCUUGAGUUUUUAGUAGUCCUUCUAAUUCAGACCUGUAUUUGAGGCUGGAGACCAGAUCCAGACACAAAAAGCCAAGGCAACCUGCAAGUUUUCUAUCAUGUCUUGAACCACAAAAACGAUGGCCCAGCCUUCACUCCUCGUCCCACCAACAGAUGCUGUGCACAGAUAAGCUACGUGAGCAGUGACUUGGGAAAAGCUGUUGUAAGGCUGUUUGAUGAAGCUGGAGAAGUGCUCAAAAGCCACAGGAUCAGGCAGCAGGGUCCUGUGGCUAACUCUAAAUAGCAAAGGAAACUGAAAAAAACGUGUUUUAACCUAUGCUGGGCUGCACUGUGUUCUCGUCCUAUGGAAAUUGUGCCUGUUCAGCAUUGCUUGGCUAAACUCACAGCAGGGUCCACACAUUGACAGAAAGAGAUGGAUUUGCGUUACCAGAAAAGGUGGGAAAGCAGUUGCAAUUUCAACAGCUUUUCAAGUGUAUUUAAGUCACCUGAAGUAUGGCCCCAUGUGGUAAAAGACAGUUUGGCCUCGGCAGUGUUAGGACAUGUUGGAUUCAUUGAGUUUUCUCAGUAGCCUAUUAUCACUGGACCACCUGGAGCGCUGGGAUACCAACCCUGGCUGCUGUAGACCCAAAGGAAGAGCAUUCCAGCCCUUGUUUGGACUCCCCUCUACUUUGCAAACUGUUGAGAUGAAGCACGAAGGUAUAAAAAAAAUUCAGGAGAGAUGGACAAAUCCCAUGAGGGCCCAAAAAUGUCUUUAUCUGAGACAGCUGAGAGCUUUGCCAUCUCCCACUGGCACCCAGCCACAUGUGGUGAGCCAAGACAGGUGGUCUGCUGGGCUGGAAGACACACUAAGACAGUCUGGUCAGCCAGACGGGCCAGCAUGAGGAGUUCAGUGAAUGGGACUCUUCUCCUUGCACAUGAACGAGUCCAGUGCAGUACAAUGGGGUACUGUGCUGCUGAAGAAGUUGUUCUUCGGGUGAGACAUUACACUCAUAAAACUCAGUGGAGGUCCUGACCACUUUGUGGGCAUUAAAGAUCCCAUGACUUCUAGCAAUGACUUUGGUGUCCUGGCCACGCUCCAACUUGGAACGCUUUGUCUCGUUGGACUCCCUAUACAGCUCCUAUUCAGAAAUGUUGUCUUCACAAAGUCUACGUUUAGAUGAGCUCAUGUUAAGCUGCCGUUUCAAAGUUGAUGCCAAAAUGGAAAAAGAAUUGUAAAAAUAAUUAGCGAUGAUUACUGAUAAUUACCUACACAUGGUUGGUGUACCAGACUCAGAGAAAUACCUCAGAAUGAAAAAUGUCAUGUAAAUAUAGGGUGUUACUAAGUUUCUGGCUGGGGUUUUGAAAUACUCAGAACCGUACGUAUGGAAUCACACUUUUUUUAUCAGAACAAGAAGUGCUGUCUUGUUGUUUAAGAUCUUAAAAUCAGAUUGUGCUCUGGGUAAGUUACCAGUAAUACUUGCAAAGAUAUGAGACCCUUCGAGAAAAGUCAGUUUAACAAAUUCUAAAGUAGGACUUGAAGAAGCUUAAUUUGACAAACAGAGCUUUGAAUCACGUUCAUCACUGUCGGAGGAGCUGCCCACCACACUUCUCUUUGCCAUUUGGAAGAGCAGGUCAGACACUGGCAAAACCAGGCCACCAAGUCUGCUAGAGGCAAUUUAAAUACAACACAUCGAGAUAACAUUUGCUUUAAGCUUUUCAUUUUCACAGCCUUACGCAGUGAGAGCGGCUUAUGAAGUCUCCCAUUUAAAGCCUGAUUUGUGAUUUAUAGUGAUUUAUAACAACACUAAAACCUCCCACAAAAGACAAAUUAAUACUCAGAUGCUUUUUCAGCACCUCCUUUGAGAAAAAGAGUUUUGAGCCAGUGCCAAGGAGUGGGAGGCAAGUAUUUCUACUGAAACACAAAUGGGUGGCAAACUCUGGAAUAACAUUUUGGCAUGAAAUACACACUACAUUUUUGGAGUCUUUUCUCUUUAAAAUGUCUGAGCAUUUCAAUUUAACAAAUUAAACCUUCCCUAAUAAAAUGAGUUGGUCAAGGAGAAAAGAAGGAAUUUAAGUUAAGUCUCCGUAAAUGUUUUUUGCACAUUUGUGCUUAAAGCUUGCUGCCUGGUCUGCCUCUCAGUUCAUGGCAGUUCCAAAAUAUGGAGUACUUGUUUUGGCUCUAGGCUUACUAUUAUAUUGCCAUUAAAAUUCCAACUAAAUCCUCCAGGUUUGUAAUUAGAACUAUGGAGAGACCCAGGAGUUAAACACAAAGGAUGCUGAACUUCAGCAGAGGAAAUUACAGCACAAUAUGAUGCGAGAUGUGUUGGAUGAAAUUAAACGGAACAAAUCAGUGAAGCAGAUAGGGAAGGAGAGCAUGUCCAAAGAUCAAUUAAUGCAUGUCUGAGUGUUAUGAGCAGUGCUAAAAAGCAGUGCAUUAAGGCUAAACUGGGACUCUUAACAGAUGCAAAAGAAAGUGCAAAAAACAUAUGAAGAACAAAGCAAGACAGAUGGAAUCAUUCUGUAGAAGAGGAGUUAAAAACCAGUAGGAUUAUUUGAUGACCAGUUAGAGGAGAAAGGUAAUAAAAUUUCAUGCUUCAAGGUAUAAGCUGGUAACCAUGGGGGUCUGUAAGUAACUUUUUCCUUCUCUGGAAUAUUGCAAAAUUGGAUGACAGAGUCUUUACAAGGAUUGCACUUUCUCUCCCUCUCCUUUAGUCUUCUGGCUUUGAUUGAAACAUUGGGUGUGUGCCAGUCUCAGACCUAGACAAAGGCUGAUGCUCAAAUGGUCAACUACAGUGAAUUUUAUUUUCUGUCAAAAGGGAUGAAAACCAAAACAUAAUAAGAGAUGAACCUGAACAAAAUAAGAUUCCGGUUCAGUCUUCCUUGUUUCUGAGGGUUUUAUAGUGGCUUGGGUGGGAAUUCUGCCCCAGCAUGGACUGCACAAUUGAAUUUUACUAAUGACAGAUGAGAUUUUCUGUAUGUGUAACCAGCCUGCCAGGUGUUGCUGGCAGUAAUGAAGGCCAAACUGAGUACCUAAAUUUUUUCUUAAAAUUACAACACAAAAUUGCUCAGAAAAAAUAGCCCAGAAACCUUAAGAAACCAAACACUUCCCACAGGUACCCUAGCCAGUAUUUCCCAUUCAUAAACAUAGAAUCUAAUAAUUAAAUGGCAUUAAUUCAGGGAAAAAACCUACUAGUGGUGAGUUGAUAAAGAAAACACUGGAUUUCCCACUAUCUUGGCCAGGAUAUCUCAGAAUGGAUCCAAACACUUCCAGAGGACAAAUGUCUCCAUAGGAUGCAGCUUGCCCCCUUUCUUCACUUCUCCCCACCUUGGUUUAUUGUUGUUAUCACACAUUUUGCUGCUUCCACUCCACCUGUAAGCCAGGCAUUAAUCCAGCAAUCCACAUUGUCCAUAUGGCUCCAUUUGAGUUAGCUGCCCAAACUAACCAUCAGUGGACAAUAAAACAGAUCCUCCUGGAUCAUGGUUGAUUUAAUCUUAAAGUGGAAAGAGCCAGGGAAUGGGCACAAGCCCUGGCAUAUGACUUUUCAGACUGAUAAAUUGUUAGUGUAUAACCUGGAAGUACUUCUGUCCAGGCCACCUAGCAUCAUGCUAAGGAGCAUUUAGGUCUUGUUCUUGGUGUGGAUCAAGGAUGUCUCCCAACAGACUGUUUGGAUGCAGCCACCCUGCUCUGGAGGUGAGUUGAACUGUGCCAUUGUGGGAUCUUCCACUGGGCUCGAGUCCUGGCCUGUUUUAUUUAUUUGUACAGUAGCUGUGGAGACUUCACUCAAUAAUUUUAAAUCCUCUUCUGCUUCUUUUUGAUUACAGAACAUGGAGAAUAACAUCCUGGCGAUGCAGUUGGAGUUAGUGUCAGCUACAAGCUAAAGCAUUCCUACAAACUCACCUCUUAUCACAAGUGGGAAUGAAGCUUGAUCAUUUUAUUUUUAAUUUCACCAAGAAGUGAUAGAAUGGAAUGGAAUAGAAUAGAAUAGAAUAGAAUAGAACUAUUUCAGUUAGAAGGAUUUACAGCAACCCUAUAAUCCAACUGCCUGACAGAAGCAUGAUCUUACCAGAUCCCCAGACUGCAGAUUAUCCAAGAAAAGGUCAGCUAAAGCAAGAUAAGGUGGAUAAUGAAACAAAGCCACUUACAAUAGCAUCAUAUCUUUUGAUCACCUCCAGAAAAGAACAGUAAAAAUAAUGUUGCUGACAUUCUGUAUAGUUCAUUCAGCUUGAUGCAGAGCUGAUGGAAGGAUCUACAACUGGUCCUGAGUCAGGUCUGUGUAAUCAUGACCCUAGUCCUGUUUUAACAAGAGGAAAGUGGUGCAGGUGGCAAAUAAACCCU